AUGGACAUGCAAAUGUAUAGAGGUCACGCCGUCGUGGCUGCACUGGUUCUGCUUACCACCGUCACUGCAGCAAGCCCAACUGGCUACUGGGGUUACCUCUGUGAUGGUGGGAACUACAGUGCGCCCAGCAAGUACCAGCAGAACCUUGAACAGCUCUCCGCCACGCUGCCUGAAGCAGUCGCCUCCUCCCCCACUUUGUUCCACACGCAGGCAGUUGGCUCCAGCCACGAUAGAGCAUAUGCUCUGGCAAGAUGCCGCGGUGACACAGAGGCCGACGACUGCAGGAGAUGCCUUACACAGGCCUUCCAGGAUGCCCGGGCUGUUUGCACGUUCAGGAAGGGUAUUUCCAUCUACUACGACACGUGCAGCCUCUGGUUCGCUGAGAAGAAGAUCAAAAUUCAUCUUGGAGAUUCGCAGUCAGUCCUUAGGGCGGAUGGUCCCCCUAUACCUACCCAAUGCAAGGCCUUCCAGAACGAUGCCAGUACACUUAUCGCAGAUGUGGCGAGGAAGGCAUCAGAUUCUUCUCAAAGAUAUGCCACGGGAGAAAAGGGUCGUGAUGAGCGUGCCUGCAACUACACACUAUACACUCUUGCUGACUGUCUACCUGGAAUUUCAGCUGCUCAGUGUCAGGUCUGUUUGGAAGAUCUAACCUCUACACCAGGCCUGAGUGGUGGGCAAAUGGGUGAGCGAAAGGCUACCCUGUUGUGCAGUUACCGUUUGGAGCCUUAUCAGUUCUUCAGGGAUACAAAAGGACACAAGAACAAGACUGUUUGGAUCGUGGUGGGUGUAGCGGGAGGCGCAGUGCUACUGGCAAUCGCCUUGCUACUUUGGUGGUGGCUUCUGGCUAAACGUCCUUCUGCGAUAGAUUCCUUCAACAAAAUCACAGCCAACUGGCAGGGCAAGACGAUAGCCCUCUUCUUGGACUACGACGGAACCCUGGCGCCAAAAGUAGAUAAUCCUGACGAGGCAUACAUGUCCAGCGAGAUGCGCGAAGUUGUUCAAGAACUUGCCUCCUUGUGCGCCACUUCAGUCGUCAGUGGAAGGGCUCGCUAUAAGACGGAAAGUUUCGUAAUGAUCGAAAACCUGCACUAUGCAGGGAGCCACGGAGCAGAAAUCAAACUCAUUGACGAAACAGAAGCCUACGAACCUGCCCGCGAGUAUGUGCCUGUUAUAAAUCAGGCAAGAGAGCGUUUGGAGGAGGCUAUCAAAGAAAUAAAGGGUGCAAGCAUUGAACAUAAGAAAUUCGGGAUUUCCGUGCACUACCGGUGUGUUGAGGAGGAGGAACAGGAACUGGUUAAGAAGCUUGCCAAGCAAACCAUUAAAGGUUUCUCUGAGCUCACAGUAACUAAGGGUGACAAGGUUGUUGAAGUUCGUCCUAAGGCUGAAUUCAACAAGGGGUUUGCAGUCAAGUAUAUACUCGAGCAGCUAGCCCGCAAAAACAACUGGGACAGUUCUCAGGUGGUCGCUAUCUUUAUCGGUGACGAUAAGACAGAUGAAGAUGCAUUCAAGGUGCUUUGGAAACGAGUUGGCGGACUGGGGAUCCUUGUCAACAAGAAACGCAAGUGGACCAAAGCCUCGUAUUCCCUUGAAGACCCAGCUCAGGUGCAAAAAUUUCUUCAAAUGCUCCUGAGCUGGAAGAAGAAGGCAGAGGCUGAAGUUUGA
Molecule: ribosomal RNA, 1662 nt
Filed under: Triticum aestivum (bread wheat)
Lineage: Eukaryota; Viridiplantae; Streptophyta; Magnoliopsida; Poales; Poaceae
Description: partial small subunit ribosomal RNA
Source: RNAcentral